This 239-nucleotide ribosomal RNA is filed under the name uncultured Leptolinea sp. Its description in RNAcentral is "partial 16S ribosomal RNA". It matches the Rfam family "Bacterial small subunit ribosomal RNA", at positions 1144 to 1382 of the family's 1533-position model. The record is from RNAcentral. Lineage: Bacteria; Bacillati; Chloroflexota; Anaerolineae; Anaerolineales; Anaerolineaceae.
CGGGACUGCCGGUCUUAAGCCGGAGGAAGUGGGGGAUGAUGUCAAGUCAGCAUGGCCUUUAUAUCCUGGGCUACACACACGCUACAAUGGCCAACACAAUAGGUUGCUAAGCCGCGAGGUGGCGCCAAUCCAUAAAGUUGGUCUCAGUUCAGAUUGUAGGCUGCAACCCGCCUGCAUGAAGAUGGAGUUGCUAGUAACCGCAGGUCAGCUAUACUGCGGUGAAUACGUUCCCGGGGCUU